This 406-nucleotide ribosomal RNA is filed under the name uncultured bacterium. RNAcentral's name for it is "partial 16S ribosomal RNA". It matches the Rfam family "Bacterial small subunit ribosomal RNA", at positions 30 to 526 of the family's 1533-position model. The record is from RNAcentral.
AUUGAACGCUGGCGGCAUGCCUAACACAUGCAAGUCGAACGCGUGGCGGACGGGUGAGUAAUGUCUGGGAACCUGCCCGAUGGAGGGGGUUAACUCCUGGAACCGGUAGCUAAUACCGCAUACCAUCGUAUGUGCCCAGAUGGGAUUAUCUAGUAGGUGGGGUAACGGCUAACCUGGGCAACGAUCCCUAGCUGGUCUGCGAGGGUGACCAGCCACACUGGAACUGAGACACGGUCCAGACUCCUACGGGAGGCAGCAGUGGGGAAUAUUGCGCAAUGGGCGCAAGCCUGAUGCAGCAAUGCCGCGUGAAUGAAGAAGGCCUUCGGGUCGUAAAGCACUGUUAGCGAGGAGGCGGUACCGAAAGAAAAAGCACCGGCUAACUACGUGCCAGCAGCCGCGGUAAUUC